UGGGGCGUCGUCAAGUGGUAAGACAACGGACUUUGACUCCGUUAUUCGUAGGUUCGAAUCCUUCCGCCCCAG
RNAcentral lists this transfer RNA (72 nucleotides) under Chroomonas placoidea. Its description in RNAcentral is "tRNA-Gln". It matches the Rfam family "tRNA". From Rfam's summary of the family: Transfer RNA (tRNA) molecules are approximately 80 nucleotides in length. Their secondary structure includes four short double-helical elements and three loops (D, anti-codon, and T loops). Lineage: Eukaryota; Cryptophyceae; Pyrenomonadales; Chroomonadaceae. The record is from RNAcentral.